GUUCUUAUUAAUUAAAAAGUUACGGAUGUUAGUUCGAUAGAGUAUCGAUUUUACUAAAAGAAGAAUGAGAAACAUUGGAGGUUGAAAAAGUUAUUAUGGUAUUUAGAGGGAAUUUGAGAUGAGUGUAGCACCUUCCUUUCAAAAGUGAAAGGGAAAGGCGUAAGAUUUUUGUUGUCUUGAGUUAGUGCAAGAAUGGUUGACGGAUUUACAAAAUUUUUUACUAAAUAAAUACUUGUAUUUUUUUUUGGGAUUGAGGUUAUCGUUUGAUGGCGGAGAAAAAUGGAAGCUUUAAAAUUUGGUUAACUGAAAGUGUUUUCAUUGCUUAGACCUAUAGCUUCUUUUGGUUAAUGAUGAACAUGGAGUAGCUUGUUUACUACUUAACAUAAGGCAUACAUUUGUUCAUUCUUAUGUUUUGCUUCUUUUUUUUCUUAUGUUUUACUUUUUUUCCAGAUUAUUGCUCGACGCGUGGACGAGCUUGUUCGCGGUGGUCUAGGCAGUAGCACACUGUCGCGACCACCACGAUCACAAAUGCAACUGACGCCAUGACUCCGAACAGCACCACUAAGCCGGAAGAAGAGUGAGACUGAUGUGGUGGAAGCGGAAAGUCUUGAUUCGUUGAGUUAAUCAUGGUGAGUGAGUUGCUUUUCCUUCUCUCUUCUUCUUAUCAUUAUAUAAAACAGUGAAGAUCAAAACCUGCAAACUACUGUGAAUUGCCAAGAGUGUCAAUUGUAGUUGAAAAAGUGUUUUUGGUUUUUCUAAUAAGUUUGAGAUAAACGUAUUACCUAGAAUUCAAAAGUGAUAGGGCCGUUAAAAAAUUUCCGAAUUGUUGAUCUUUAUAGGUUUUGAAUUGUUGAUCUUUUAUUGGGAAUUCUGAAUAAUGACAAAGCCUGCCUCGUUGCCCGAUUCCAAUGAAACUGUCUUUAAGUCACGUUGCAUAUUAAUUCAUAAUCAUUAAAAGUAUUUGAUAUGAAAAUUAUAUCAAAACAUUUGUUUUGUUAAUAAAAUGUGAAAAACGUAAAUAUAUCAACUUUUUUCCAAAAUAAUAAUCAAUUAGAAACAUAUGAGUAUUUAACUAUUUAUAAAUUUUCUUUACUGUUUAGCUUUGUAUUGAGAUAUGGAAAAAUGGUAUGGAGAACCAAAGAUCGACCGAGACGACAAGGCUAAAAUAUGAGUCUUGAAAACAUUAUUUUUCAUUCUUAUGUUUUGCUUGGUUUUUACUUAUUAUUUGUUUGGGACGAGUUGGAAGAUGCAAGCUAAGACUCGCUCAACUCAGGGAUGUUUCUUAACAUUUUGAAGGUUUGAGUGGUUUUGUAGAUACAUCCACUUAUGUAUUGAUUGAACAUUUUAAAUAAAUUAUAACUUGUAAUUUUAUUUAAAUGGAUGCUUAAGUAGACAAUGUCACACUGAUAUGGAUAGUCUGGAUAGAGAGAAAACUUUUCUAUUAUAUAUUGACUAGGGAAAUUCCGGGCUACAAAACACAAUUGUUGUGUAUAUUAACUACUAGAUUUUAAUAUAUUUUGUAACAGAAAACUUCACCUGCCAUCCCCAUGCCCUAUCGUCAUUUGUCAUCUGAUACGACGGCGACGACAUACCAUAACAAGAAAUAUUUCCUCUAGAAGCAACCACACCUGCGACGAAGAAACUUUUAUGAAGCCUCAUCAUCAUGCCGAGCUAUUUAUCCCUCAGCAUUAUUUGGAUAUAACAAAAGGAAUAAAAAAAAAGUACCUGCGAAGAUCUGGUCUAGUAGAUCACUCUUAGUGUUUGGUGGGCUUGUGUUAAUAGCCUCACACAACCUGGCAACCGAGAACUGAUUGUCGCUGUAUUGAGCUGUCCUCGCGUAUAUGUAACUCACAUAGCUUUUGAGUUCGAUAAUGUCGUUCAAAGGACUAAUAAAUCAAUAUAAAAAGAUAAAAAGAAUAUUAAAAUAUGAUAGAUUCUUUUAUACUCUCUAUAAAUUGGGAGAAAUCUUUUUACUUGCACAGCUUGAAAUUUUUGCUGAGGAUUGAGAGACUGUUAGGUUUGGCAGCAAUCCUGUCUAUUUCAUCCCAAGAUUUAUGUAUCUUGUUAUGACAUUCCUUGCUCAUUUCCUUAAGGACAAAAUAUUAGCAAAACAAUAUGAGUAAUGCAUGUUGUUAAUAGUAUAAUUAUGGAACUGUUUUAAGUUACCUUGAAAACUUUGGUUACUAUGUAAAAGUAACCAUGUUUUGGAAGUGUGUCUUCAAAAUAGAGGAGGGGGGCUGAGGAUGCUAAAGCCCCGAGCGCUAUGUAUGGGUAUUUUAGCUUGAACCAAGCUGCCAACACUUUGUGUACCGCACCAUGAAAUUGAAAAUAAAAUAAAAUUAUUUUUGAAGCAUAACAUUUUAUCAUACUAAAUUAAAUAUCCAUAUAGUGAAAGAGGAAUGGAACAUUAGGGAAAGUGAGAAGAGCAAAUUUCGUUCCAACAUUAUUUUAGAUGUAUGUCAAUUAUUUUUAGCAAGACUAGUAAAAGAAUAUAUAAC
RNAcentral lists this small RNA (2498 nucleotides) under Arabidopsis thaliana (thale cress). RNAcentral's name for it is "ATSL152410". The record is from RNAcentral. Lineage: Eukaryota; Viridiplantae; Streptophyta; Magnoliopsida; Brassicales; Brassicaceae.